Molecule: unclassified non-coding RNA, 253 nt
Filed under: uncultured Caryophanales bacterium
Lineage: Bacteria; Bacillati; Bacillota; Bacilli; Caryophanales
Description: uncultured Bacillales bacterium contains 16S-23S intergenic spacer region
Rfam family: Bacterial small subunit ribosomal RNA
Source: RNAcentral
UACGUAGGUGGCAAGCGUUGUCCGGAAUUAUUGGGCGUAAAGCGCGCGCAGGCGGUCCUUUAAGUCUGAUGUGAAAGCCCACGGCUCAACCGUGGAGGGUCAUUGGAAACUGGAGGACUUGAGUACAGAAGAGGAAAGUGGAAUUCCACGUGUAGCGGUGAAAUGCGUAGAGAUGUGGAGGAACACCAGUGGCGAAGGCGACUCUUUGGCCUAUAACUGACGCUGAGGCGCGAAAGCGUAGGUAGCGAACAGG